GGUGAAUGACUUGGCUCGAAAUGCCGAUGAAGGUCGUGGCAAUCUGCGAUAUGCCCAGGUGAAAUGCAUGCAGUUAUUGACCCUGGGAUUGCUGAAUGGGACAUCCUAUACUUCGGUAUGACCAGUAAUGGUCGGGAACGCGGGGAACUGAAGCGUCUUAGUACCCGCAGGAAAAAAAAUCAAUUGAGAUUCGGUAAGUAACAGCGAGUGAAAACCGAACAGAGCAAACUGAAUCCCUGUUAGAAAUAAUAGGGAGAUGUGGUGUUUUAGACUGUUUUUUCGUCCUAGUUGACUGAUUCAAAUAUCUCUGGAAAGAGAAACCAUAGAGGGUGAUAGUCCCGUAGAAGAAGGUCAAAGGAUUUAACAGGAUCUAGAGUAGGAUUCAUUGGAAAUUGGGUCUGAAUUUGGGGGCCAUCAAUCCCCAACUCUAAAUACAUUUCGAGUCCGAUAGUGUACUAGUACCGUGAGGGAAAGUUGAAAAGUACCCGUAACAGGGAGUGAAAAGAUUUGAAACCUAAUGGCGAUAGUGUGAUGCGGCUCUUAGGAGUUGCAUCGUACGUUUCGAAUAACGGACCAGGGAGUGUGCUUAAGUGGCGAGAGUAAGAAUCAACGAUUCGUACUCGAAGGGAAACCAAUAGUCCGCAAGCAAUGAGGGACAAGGUGUGAAAGCGCCUUUAGUCAUUUGAGUACUACCCGAAACCGGGUGAUCUAUCCGUGGGCAAGGUGAAGCGAAGGUAAAACUUCGUGGAGGCCUGAAGAGGUUCUGUGGACAAGCGUUCUUCUGACCUGUGGAUAGGGGUGAAAAGCCAAUCGAACCCGGUAAUAGCUGGUUCCUGCCGAAGUUGGCUUCAGUCAAGUCUCCGACGAGAUUGUAAAGGUUGUAAAGCUACGGAUUUGAAAUUAAGGGGAAGAAAUUCCUCGGUUUCUUGUCCAACUCAAAAUGCCUUUACAUUGUAGACUCGGGGAUACGGCGGUAUGCGGUAAGCGCGUAUCGCGAGAGGGGAACAACCCAGACCAUAGUUAAGGUCCCAAAAUACUGAUUAAGUGUUAAAGGGUGAAGAGUGUAUAUUAGCAAAUACAGAUAGGAGGUAGGCUCAGAAGCAGCCAUCCUUUAAAGAAAGCGUAACAGCUCACUAUUCUAGCUAAUAUGUCUCGAAAAUGGACGGGACUAAAUCAGUUACCGAUACUAUGGACAUCAUAAAUGAUUGUGGUAGGCAGGUGUUCUGCUUGAGAAAAAUUUUUUCCGUAAGGAGAAGUGAAUCGAGUAGAAAUAAGAAUCCUGGUGGUAGUAAGAUCAAUUUGCAGUGAGAAUCUGCAAUACCGAAAGGGCAAGGGUUCCUUGGCAAUGUAGAUCAGCCAAGGGUAAGUCGAUCCUAACUCAACUCGUAAAUCGAGUGAGGGGAAAGGGAAAAAGGUUAAAAUUCCUUUACUAUCUAAGUACCCGGCAACGAAAGCUUUAUUUCUGACGUUUCAGGCUAGGUCAAUACUUACUGUCGUGAGUAUUAACUAAAAUAAGUCGAGGGAGUAUCUUAAUGGUGAGAACUCGAUUAAAUUUAGGAAUAGUGUUCCUUAAGGAACAUUUGGCCAAUGCCCGGAACCCAUGAAAAAGAAAUAAAGAUGAAUCUUAGAUAAUCGUACCCAGAACCGACACAGGUGCCCCUAGGUGAGAAGCUUAAGGUAUGAGAGAGUAAUCCAAUUAAGGGAAUUCGGCAAAUUAGUCCUGUAUCUUUGGUAUAAGGGAUCCCUGCGAUUGUAUUUGUAUAAAUGCGAUUACAGGGCUCAGUGACUAGAGGGGUCCGACUGUUUAAUAAAAACUUAACUGUUCGCUAGCCCGCAAGGGUGUGUAUGGACAGUUACGUCUGCCCAGUGCCAGAACUUGAAACUUCUUUUCAAGGAAGCUAAGAGCUGGUAAACGGCGGGAAUAACUAUAAUUCUCUUAAGGUAGCGAAAUGCCUUGUCGUUUUAUUGACGACUUGCAUGAAAGGCGUAACGAGAUCCCUACUGUCCCUAAUUGGAACCUCCUGAACACUCCAUACUGGUGCAAAGGCCAGUGACCUCCAGUGGGAAGCAAAGACCCCGUAGAUCUUUACUACAGCAUGUUGUUGCGAAGUGAGUUUUGUCGUGCAGUGUAGGUGGGAGUUGUUAAAACUUGAACGCUAGUUUAAGUGUAGACAUCAAUGAGACACCACCCUUCAAAAUUUACUUUGCUUACUUUGGAAACGAAGGACAUCUAUAUGUGGGUAGUUUGGCUGGGGCGGCACCCUGCUGAAAAGAUAUCAGCAGGGCCCAAAGGUUGGCUCAAUCGGGUCGGAAAUCCGAUGUAGAGUGCAAGAGCAAAAGCCAGCUUGACUGUGUUCCUAAUAAAACGGAACUCAGCAAGGAAACUUUGGUCUAGCGAACCCUUACACCUUCUUGAUGAGGGUUAAGGAUGACAGAAAAGAUACCUCGGGGAUAACUGAGUGGUAGCGCCUAAGAGUUCAUAUCGACGGCGCUGUUUGCUACGACGAUGUCGGCUCGCCGCAUCCUGGAUGUGCAGAAGCAUCCAAGGGUAGGGGUGCUCACCCAUUAAAGCGGCUCGUGAGCUGGGUUUAGAACGCUGUGAAGCAGUUUGUUCGAUAUCUAGUGGAGGUGUUCAAUGUCUGAGAGGAAGGAUCAUUUAGUACGAGAGGAACAGUGGUUCGGGGCCUCUGGUGUAUCGGUUGUCUGAUAAGGCAGGCCGAGCAGCUACGCCCCAAAGGAUAAGAGCUGAAAGCAUCUAAGCUCGAAGCCUACCUCGAAAAGAGACAUUACAAUCACU
RNAcentral lists this ribosomal RNA (2797 nucleotides) under archaeon. Its description in RNAcentral is "23S ribosomal RNA". It matches the Rfam family "Archaeal large subunit ribosomal RNA". The record is from RNAcentral.